This 60-nucleotide small RNA is filed under the name Arabidopsis thaliana (thale cress). RNAcentral's name for it is "ATSL014510". The record is from RNAcentral. Lineage: Eukaryota; Viridiplantae; Streptophyta; Magnoliopsida; Brassicales; Brassicaceae.
UUAAUUUUGUGAUCGUCUUUUUGUCCAGAGUUCUUCACAAUGAAGGAAAAUAUUACGUAU